UCUCCUGGAAACGGGUGGUAAUGCCGGAUGCUCCAUCACACCGCAUGGUGUGUUGGGAAAGCCUUUGCGGCAUGGGAUGGGGUCGCGUCCUAUCAGCUUGAUGGCGGGGUAACGGCCCACCAUGGCUUCGACGGGUAGCCGGCCUGAGAGGGCGACCGGCCACAUUGGGACUGAGAUACGGCCCAGACUCCUACGGGAGGCAGCAGUGGGGAAUAUUGCACAAUGGGCGCAAGCCUGAUGCAGCGACGCCGCGUGAGGGAUGGAGGCCUUCGGGUUGUAAACCUCUUUUGUUAGGGAGCAAGGCACUUUGUGUUGAGUGUACCUUUCGAAUAAGCACCGGCUAACUACGUGCCAGCAGCCGCGGUAAUACGUAGGGUGCAAGCGUUAUCCGGAAUUAUUGGGCGUAAAGGGCUCGUAGGCGGUUCGUCGCGUCCGGUGUGAAAGUCCAUCGCUUAACGGUGGAUCCGCGCCGGGUACGGGCGGGCUUGAGUGCGGUAGGGGAGACUGGAAUUCCCGGUGUAACGGUGGAAUGUGUAGAUAU
RNAcentral lists this ribosomal RNA (541 nucleotides) under Bifidobacterium breve. RNAcentral's name for it is "bacterial SSU rRNA". It matches the Rfam family "Bacterial small subunit ribosomal RNA", at positions 146 to 697 of the family's 1533-position model. The record is from RNAcentral. Lineage: Bacteria; Bacillati; Actinomycetota; Actinomycetes; Bifidobacteriales; Bifidobacteriaceae.